CCAUUAUUUUUUUUUGUUCUUGCUGUCUACUUGAUUAAUUUAAUUUUGGUUGUACUACACUUAAAAGAACUCACUGGGGUCCCCCAAUGGCACCACGUCCAUGAGCCCCAUGCCGCCGUCGUCGAGCAGCCAGCUCUCCAGCAUCGAGAACGCCGGCGCGGGGCCGCCGGCGCCGCCGCCGGUCGACCCCGACGCCUCGGGGCCCUUGCCGUUGCCGCCGCCGCCGCCGCCCGGGCGCAUCCAGCCCUGCAGCAGCCGCGCGAUGUUGUCCGCGCUCGACGCGUACGCCGCCGACGACCCCGCUGGCGUCGCCGCCGUCGCCGGCGACGGGUCGGGGUGGUCGAGCGAGAGCGCGUCGCGCAGCGCCUGCCGCGCCGUGUGGAUGUCCGUCUGCAGCCGCCGCUCCCACUGCCCCUUAGGUGCGGCGGCCUUCACGCUUUUCCCGCCGCCGUCGCCGUCGCCGCGGCCGCCGCCACCCUCCGAGGCGGCGCCGCCGUCUUCCCCACCUCCGGCGGCCUGCAUCUUCUUGAGCUUCUUCUUGAGGUGCGUGUUCCAGUAGUUCUUGAUGUCGUUGUCCGUCCUCUCCGGCAAGUACGACGCUAUCGCUGCCCACCUACACAGCCAGCAACCCACUCAUCAGCCAUGGACGCCAUGGACAAAUCAAUCAAAGCAAACCAUGAAAAACCAAGAAGAAAUCACCGGUUGCCGAGGAGAGCCUGGAGGUGGACGAUGAGCUUCUCCUCCUGCUCGGUGAAGUUCCCCCGCUUGAUCCCCGGCCUGAGGUAGUUCGUCCACC
Molecule: long non-coding RNA, 796 nt
Filed under: Oryza sativa Indica Group (long-grained rice)
Lineage: Eukaryota; Viridiplantae; Streptophyta; Magnoliopsida; Poales; Poaceae
Description: lncRNA OsMH63_09G010680
Source: RNAcentral